RNAcentral lists this transfer RNA (72 nucleotides) under Toxocara canis (dog roundworm). It matches the Rfam family "tRNA". From Rfam's summary of the family: Transfer RNA (tRNA) molecules are approximately 80 nucleotides in length. Their secondary structure includes four short double-helical elements and three loops (D, anti-codon, and T loops). Further hydrogen bonds mediate the characteristic L-shaped molecular structure. tRNAs have two regions of fundamental functional importance: the anti-codon, which is responsible for specific mRNA codon recognition, and the 3' end, to which the tRNAs corresponding amino acid is attached (by aminoacyl-tRNA synthetases). tRNAs cope with the degeneracy of the genetic code in two manners: having more than one tRNA (with a specific anti-codon) for a particular amino acid; and 'wobble' base-pairing, i.e. permitting non-standard base-pairing at the 3rd anti-codon position. Lineage: Eukaryota; Metazoa; Nematoda; Chromadorea; Rhabditida; Toxocaridae. The record is from Rfam by way of RNAcentral.
CGGGCAGUAGCUCACUGGUAGAGCUCCCGCUUCGUUUUCGGGAAGAGCUGGGUUCGACUCCCGGUUGCUCAC